GCAAGCAGUAGAGAGAAAGAGCCAAUCUAUAUGGGGCCCUGCUGUUAAUUAUCUAAAAAUCGUUCAGAAACCCAAGUCACUGACUCACAUAGAUACAGAGGCAGGAGGUGAUGGGGUUGGGAAGAGGAUUUUGGCCGACGCCCACUCUGAGUAUGAGCAGCUGAGACAAGAAAAUGUACGUAGCCACCAUUGUGUCGUACGGCGACAACUUUAUGGACAUGGUGUAUCGUGAUGUGAUGGACAUGAUAUGCUGGCCCUAUCAGUAAGACACCAUUCUGAGAC
Molecule: long non-coding RNA, 282 nt
Organism: Saccostrea cuccullata (small rock oyster)
Lineage: Eukaryota; Metazoa; Mollusca; Bivalvia; Ostreida; Ostreidae
Exons: 3
Source: RefSeq, a predicted model, not a curated record